RNAcentral lists this ribosomal RNA (587 nucleotides) under uncultured bacterium. Its description in RNAcentral is "bacterial SSU rRNA". It matches the Rfam family "Bacterial small subunit ribosomal RNA", at positions 338 to 916 of the family's 1533-position model. The record is from RNAcentral.
CCUACGGGAGGCAGCAGUGGGGAAUUUUGGACAAUGGGCGCAAGCCUGAUCCAGCCAUUCCGCGUGAGUGAAGAAGGCCUUCGGGUUGUAAAGCUCUUUCGCAAGGGAAGAAACGAUACUGGUAAAUAAUCAGUGUUAAUGACGGUACCUUGAUAAGAAGCACCGGCUAACUACGUGCCAGCAGCCGCGGUAAUACGUAGGGUGCGAGCGUUAAUCGGAAUUACUGGGCGUAAAGCGUGCGCAGGCUGUUUUGUAAGUCAGAUGUGAAAUCCCCGAGCUCAACUUGGGAACUGCGUUUGAAACUACAAGACUAGAAUAUGUCAGAGGGGGGUAGAAUUCCACGUGUAGCAGUGAAAUGCGUAGAGAUGUGGAGGAAUAUCAAUGGCGAAGGCAGCCCCCUGGGGUAAUAUUGACGCUCAUGCACGAAAGCGUGGGGAGCAAACAGGAUUAGAUACCCUGGUAGUCCACGCCCUAAACGAUGUCAACUAGUUGUUGGUAGAGUAAAAUCUAUGAGUAACGCAGCUAACGCGUGAAGUUGACCGCCUGGGGAUACGAUCGCAAGAUUAAAACUCAAAUGAAAUUGACGG